Molecule: ribosomal RNA, 314 nt
Filed under: Clostridioides difficile
Lineage: Bacteria; Bacillati; Bacillota; Clostridia; Peptostreptococcales; Peptostreptococcaceae
Description: bacterial LSU rRNA
Rfam family: Bacterial large subunit ribosomal RNA
Source: RNAcentral
CCCAAAAGGUAACGGAGGCGCUCAAAGGUUCUCUCAGUACGGUCGGAAAUCGUACGUAGAGUGUAAAGGCAAAAGAGAGCUUGAUUGCAAGACAUACAGGUCGAGCAAGGAUGAAAAUCGGACUUAGGGAUCCGGUGGUUCUGCGUGGAAGGGCCAUCGCUCAACGGAUAAAAGCUACCCUGGGGAUAACAGGCUUAUCUCCCCCAAGAGUCCACAUCGACGGGGAGGUUUGGCACCUCGAUGUCGGCUCAUCACAUCCUGGGGCUGUAGUAGGUCCCAAGGGUUGGGCUGUUCGCCCAUUAAAGUGGUACGCG